AUGGGGUUUGAGCAGGUGCUCCCUCCCCUGGCCGCUGCCCCUCCUAACUUCCUGUUUACAGCAGCUGCGGACUCUCUUCUCUUCACCCCAAGCCAUUAUGGUCACCAUGGCAACCAGGCUGUGUUCCAACAGACAGGAAUUGGCAGCGUGGCUGUGAGUCUGGAUCUGGAAGCUGAGACAGGUGCUCGCCCCAUCAGAGCAGUGUCCACCCCCACCUGUGGCUGGAGGGGGGCACCGGGUCCUCUCUGGGCUGGGGAUGAAGAAGGUACAGCCACAGUUAUUCACAGUGGGCUGCCCCCUGCAUGCAGCUGGAACCCUGUCCCCUCCUCAGCCCAGCUGACGGAAGACCCCUGGCCAACCCAGAGCCAGCUGUCCUUGCCUCUGGAACUGAGCUGAAGUUGCUUCCAGGUUUGCCUGUUCCCCACCCGGCCAGGAGUCCUGCCAUUAGAGAUGAGAUCCUUUGGGGUGAAAACUUCUCCAAACCAGUCUGACCCUCCGAGUACGAGUUUCUCAGAGGGUCCAGCAGGGCUGGGAUCCAGGGGCCCUGUGCACCUCAGCCAAGUUCAGAACCUCUAAGCGGCCCCAGGGCUGGCCAAGUGCAGUGGGGCGGCGGGGGGGGGGGGGGAGCGUCCCAUAGCAGGGCCUCCACCCGGCAGAUCUGGGGCAGGCCCAGCAAGCUGUAUUUACAGGCUCUCCAGGUGCCCACGGUGCAUGGGAGGGGCGCCGAGGGUGGGGCGGGUUUCCGACCGGCUGGGUGACCCAGCGUGUGGCCCCACCUCGGCUGAUCACCAACAGGUGAUGCGAAUUGCUGUGGGUGUCCGGGGAUGAUGCCUGCACGACCCCCUCGCUCGAGGGGCAGAGUCCCCCCUGAGAAAAGGAGCCGUUAAGCCCGCGGUGGCGGAGUCCCCAGACCCAGCCCCGCUCCCGAUUGGUACUGGGGACAGCGCUGGGCUAGGAGGGCGACUUCAGAGAUGACUGCGCAGCUCUUCUAGAAAAGUCUGCGCUGCGGACCCAAGCAUGCCGUGCCGGUUUUCCGCGACUCUGGCUUCCCUGGGGCCCUCGGGAGGGGGUCCUGCCGCAGAGCCGGGCCAGCUCCUCGGCCGCACCCACCUGUGGGUUGACGGACAGCCCGAGGCCACGCCCCCUGGGGAGGGGGCUGCCCGGCGCGCCCCUGGGCCGUCUGCGUCCAGCUGCGGGCCCUUGCGGCGGGGGCGGGGCGGGGG
Molecule: long non-coding RNA, 1223 nt
Filed under: Sus scrofa (pig)
Lineage: Eukaryota; Metazoa; Chordata; Mammalia; Artiodactyla; Suidae
Description: lncRNA (ENSSSCG00070008356.1)
Source: RNAcentral